Molecule: ribosomal RNA, 253 nt
Filed under: uncultured bacterium
Lineage: Bacteria
Description: partial 16S ribosomal RNA
Rfam family: Bacterial small subunit ribosomal RNA
Source: RNAcentral
UACGUAGGGGGCUAGCGUUGCUCGGAAUCACUGGGCGUAAAGCGCACGCAGGCGGCCUCUUAAGUCGGUGGUGAAAUCCUGGAGCUCAACUCCAGAACUGCCUUCGAUACUGAGAGUCUGGAGUCCGGGAGAGGUGAGUGGAACUGCGAGUGUAGAGGUGAAAUUCGUAGAUAUUCGCAAGAACACCAGUGGCGAAGGCGGCUCACUGGCCCGGUACUGACGCUGAGGUGCGAAAGCGUGGGGAGCAAACAGG